This 270-nucleotide ribosomal RNA is filed under the name uncultured archaeon. RNAcentral's name for it is "partial 16S ribosomal RNA". It matches the Rfam family "Archaeal small subunit ribosomal RNA", at positions 477 to 747 of the family's 1478-position model. The record is from RNAcentral.
CAGCACCUCAAGUGGUCAGGAUGAUUAUUGGGCCUAAAGCAUCCGUAGCCGUCUCUGUAAGUUUUUGGUUAAAUCUGUACGCUCAACGUACAGGCUGCCGGGAAUACUGCAGAGCUAGGGAGUGGGAGAGGUAGACGGUACUCGGUAGGAAGGGGUAAAAUCCUUUGAUCUAUUGAUGACCACCUGUGGCGAAGGCGGUCUACCAGAACACGUCCGACGGUGAGGGAUGAAAGCUGGGGGAGCAAACCGGAUUAGAUACCCGAGUAGUCC